CAUUUAUGGCUCGGUGGAUGCGAUGUUGGCCUUUUCAGUUGUGAACAGGCAAACGAACAGGGAGGGUCGUCUGGCCACUUCCUUACUAAUUUCCUCAAGCGACGUAGCUUGAAUGGGUGGUGCAUCAAGGCUGCAUAGCUACUGGUGUUUGGUCGUGCCACUGGAAUGUCAUGAUGAGGUUUUUCCAAUCGCAUGUCACGACCCCCAAUCCUUCAAGCCACUAAACACCAAACACAACAUUGAGACCGGUAAGGGGCAAUGAGAAAAGAGUGAGAGUGAAAGUAGUAUCUUGGAUUUGUAGUGGCAUGUCGUCGAACUGCCCUUGGGAUUUCAUGGAAUCCCCACUCAUAAUUUUGAUAGAUAAUGGAGCGAUCGGGAUCACAGAAGGUCAUAGCAAGCUCACAACGCUUUU
RNAcentral lists this long non-coding RNA (412 nucleotides) under Carica papaya (papaya). RNAcentral describes it as "long non-coding RNA (CPAP_LNC016538)". The record is from RNAcentral. Lineage: Eukaryota; Viridiplantae; Streptophyta; Magnoliopsida; Brassicales; Caricaceae.